Molecule: ribosomal RNA, 772 nt
Filed under: uncultured Neocallimastigales
Lineage: Eukaryota; Fungi; Neocallimastigomycota; Neocallimastigomycetes; Neocallimastigales
Description: partial large subunit ribosomal RNA
Rfam family: Eukaryotic large subunit ribosomal RNA
Source: RNAcentral
AUCUCUGUAGAGUCUGCAUAUCAAUAAGCGGAGGAAAAGAAACUAACAAGGAUUCCCUUAGUAACGGCGAGUGAAGCGGGAAGAGCUCAAAUUUGAAAUCUUCAAGCUUCUACCUUGACGAAUUGUAGUUUAAAGAAGUGUUUUCUGUUAGAUGAGUAGCAAAAGUUCCUUAGAAUGGGACAUCAUAGAGGGUGAGAAUCCCGUAUUUGGUUAUUCAUUCUAGCUUUGUGAUACACUUUCAAAGAGUCGGAUUGUUUGGGAAUGCAGUCCAAAAUGGGUGGUAAAUUUCAUCUAAAGCUAAAUAUUGGCGAGAGACCGAUGGCGAACAAGUACCGUGAGGGAAAGAUGAAAAGAACUUUGAAAAGAGAGUUAAACAGUACGUGAAAUUGUCAGAAGGGAAGCGUUUGACACCAGUGUUGUUUUUCCGAAAAUCAAUUACGAAUGGCUUGAUUCUGUGUUGUAUUGACCUUAUCAGCUUUCUUCACUUUUUUCGAGUCUUUCUUAAUGCACUUUUCGGUUAACAAGUCAACAUCAAUUUCUUUUGUUGUAAAAGAGUAUUCGGAAGGUGGCUUUCUUUUCGGAGAAAGUGUUUAUAGCCCUAUACUUCUACAAUCGGAGAGAUUGAGGUCUGCAGCGUAGAUCCUUCGGGGUUAGAUACACUUGUGCUAAGUUGUAGCUUUUCAUAGACAACUUGUUGACUAUGUUUAGUCUGCGGCUUACUCGCUUGUGCUAUUUUACCUACGCUUAGGAUGUUGACGAGACUGUCGAUCUC